CGCCCCGCCCCUCGUGGACGAGCGCGCCCCCGCGCCGGCGUCCCCGGGGCGCGCGUCCUCGCUGCCCGGGCCGGUGCGGCGGGAGGGGCCUCCGCGAGAAGCGCGCUCUCCCCGGGCGCGGGAAAGCUCACGCCGCCGGGGGCCUCCUGGCACCUGCCGCGGGGACUGCAGGGGAAGCCGCUUAAAUCGCCUGCCUUUGCCUUCUCACCCUCGCCCUUGAAGAAGCAUGGUGAUUUGGGCCAUCCAGUGCCAGCCUGAAAAAAGCACAGAGGAGCAGUGGUGUGUGACUUGAGGGCAGAGGCCAAAACACCUCCCCCCCCUUCCCAACUGCAGUAGAAAUUCCUUCCUUAGGUAAGAUCCAUGCUGCUAGAGGAGUCCUCAGGGCCACUGCCACAACACUGGAUGUCAGGAUUGAGCACUCCGCAGACCAUACUACAGGCUUCUCCCACAGCUCCUGGUGAAACCUGGUCUCUUAAGAUUUGCCUGAGAAGUAGAUGUCAGGAGUAGCACAGAAGAGCACUGAACUUACACCAACUUCCUGAAGCUCCAGAAUGGCAAAGGCUUCAAGGGGCUACUUCUAGGACCCUAAGAGUAGCCUAAAGUAUCUGGGAGAAGGUUGGAUGAAGGAGCCCUGCAUUCAUAAGUGAAAGGUAACCAGCAGCCUGCACACACCAGAGACUAGCUAUGAAGAUGCACCUCUCAGGGGAUGGCAGAUUGAAGAUGACACAUCAGAGAACAGAUACCCAUCCCCACCCACUUUUAAGGCCAUGGCACAAAGGGACCAUAUAAAAUACAGCCAUAAUCUGUAGUAAGAAGCACACACACAUGAAGAGAGAGAGAGAGAGAGGGAGAGAGAGAGAGAGAGAGAGUCUGUGUGUAGCCAGUCAGACUAAAAUUUCAUUUCUGCCAUCAGUGGAA
Molecule: long non-coding RNA, 918 nt
Filed under: Canis lupus familiaris (dog)
Lineage: Eukaryota; Metazoa; Chordata; Mammalia; Carnivora; Canidae
Description: lncRNA (ENSCAFG00000050753.1)
Source: RNAcentral